GGCGGACGGGUGAGUAAUAUAUAGGUAAUGUGCCCUAGAGAGGGGGAUAACAGUUGGAAACGACUGCUAACACCCCAUAUGCCUUUAAGACAAAAGUCUGCAAGGGAAAUAUUUAUAGCUCUAGGAUCGGCCUGUACGGUAUCAGCUAGUUGGUGAGGUAAUGGCUCACCAAGGCAAUGACGCCUAACUGGUUUGAGAGGAUGAUCAGUCACACUGGAACUGAGACACGGUCCAGACUCCUACGGGAGGCAGCAGUGGGGAAUAUUGCACAAUGGGGGAAACCCUGAUGCAGCAACGCCGCGUGGAGGAUGACACAUUUCGGUGCGUAAACUCCUUUUAUAUAGGAAGAUAAUGACGGUACUAUAUGAAUAAGCGCCGGCUAACUCCGUGCCAGCAGCCGCGGUAAUACGGAGGGCGCAAGCGUUACUCGGAAUCACUGGGCGUAAAGAGCGUGUAGGCGGGUUAAUAAGUUUGAAGUGAAAUCCUAUGGCUCAACCAUAGAACUGCUUUGAAAACUGUUAACCUAGAAUAUGGGAGAGGUAGAUGGAAUUUCUGGUGUAGGGGUAAAAUCCGUAGAGAUCAGAAGGAAUACCGAUUGCGAAGGCGAUCUACUGGAACAUUAUUGACGCUGAGACGCGAAAGCGUGGGGAGCAAACAGGAUUAGAUACCCUGGUAGUCCACGCCCUAAACGAUGUACACUAGUUGUUGUGAGGCUAGACCUUGCAGUAAUGCAGUAAACACAUUAAGU
This 748-nucleotide ribosomal RNA is filed under the name uncultured Arcobacter sp. RNAcentral describes it as "bacterial SSU rRNA". It matches the Rfam family "Bacterial small subunit ribosomal RNA", at positions 97 to 865 of the family's 1533-position model. The record is from RNAcentral. Lineage: Bacteria; Pseudomonadati; Campylobacterota; Epsilonproteobacteria; Campylobacterales; Arcobacteraceae.